CCUACGGUGUGCAGCAGUGAGGAAUAUUGGUCAAUGGGCGGAAGCCUGAACCAGCCAAGUCGCGUGAGGGAAUAAGGCCCUACGGGUCGUAAACCUCUUUUGCCGGGGAGCAAGGGCGGGGACGUGUCCCGGCCCGGAGAGUACCCGGAGAAAAAGCAUCGGCUAACUCCGUGCCAGCAGCCGCGGUAAUACGGAGGAUGCGAGCGUUAUCCGGAUUUAUUGGGUUUAAAGGGUGCGUAGGCGGGCUUUUAAGUCAGCGGUAAAAAUUCGGGGCUCAACCGUAAAAUUGCAAUUGAUACUGGCAGUCUUGAGUACAGUUGAGGUAGGCGGAAUGCGUGGUGUAGCGGUGAAAUGCAUAGAUAUCACGAAGAACUCCGAUUGCGAAGGCAGCUUACUAAACUGCCACUGACAUUGAUGCUCGAAAGUGUGGGUAUCAAACAGGAUUAGAUACCCUUGUAGUC
Molecule: ribosomal RNA, 461 nt
Filed under: uncultured bacterium
Lineage: Bacteria
Description: partial 16S ribosomal RNA
Rfam family: Bacterial small subunit ribosomal RNA
Source: RNAcentral